GUCGUCCUCAGCCUAAGGUAUCGUGGUGGUUUGGAGAAGCAGUGAUCGACGACUCCUGGCUGGCCAUGGGGUCGGGCGUAGUGUCAAACAACCUAGUGCUUAACCCUCUCACCCGCGCCCACGCCCACUCUGUACUCACCUGCAAGGCCUCCACCGCACCUGUCGCCGUCACCACCACUACCGUCACCAUCGACAUGCAUUUGCGACCUCUAUCGGCGGAGAUCACAGGGGCAGCGGUGAGCGGGUCAGUCAGGGCAGGUGACAUGCUUGACCUGACCUGUACGGCGAGAGGGUCACGACCUCACCCCAUCAUCUCUUGGUACAAAGGCGCAACCCUCCUACGGACAGAGAACACGGAUAGGAAGGACGUCACGAGUAUGGGUGGAGUGAGUCACGUGAGGGUGGCGGUACAGAGGCGUGACAACGGGGCCAGAAUCACCUGUCGUGUCACCAACCCCGCUCUACCUCUCCACACCUUGCAAGACCACAUCGUCAUUAACGUUACCUACGCACCAGAGGUUGAGUUAAGGAUGGGGAAGCCGCUUGAAGGAACAGUGGUGAGAGAGGACACGAACCUUUACCUCACCUGCCACGUAGACGCCAACCCUCUACCACACACACUCGUCUUCAUGCACCAGGGCAUAGAGGUUCACCAGGACAAGAUGGCUCGGGUGCUGGUGAACGGGAACAACCUGGUGUUGAACCGUGUGAGGCGAACACAGGCUGGCGAGUACUCCUGCAAGGCCACCAACUCUGAGGGUACAGGAACCAGCCCACCUGUCAACAUCACCGUCCUCUACGCGCCCGUGUGUGCUCUGGCCAAGGAGGUUUGGGCUGAACCUGGCGCCACCGUCACUGCCCAAUGUCGCGUCCACGCCUCCCCCAUCAAACCCAUCCAUUUCUCCUGGGUGUGGGAAACAAACUCCUACUCCCGCCGCGUCAUCCCCUCCCACGUCAACUCCAUAGGGGCCUUCUCCAGCGUUAACUUCACCGUGCCCCGUGAUAAUGUGACGGAAGUAGGGCCCAAUAACCAGCUAGGUGCCCUUCAGUGUUGGGCUGAGAAUACUGUAGGGAGACAAGAUAAACCCUGCAUCGUCGCCGUCAAGAAACCCGCGCCGCCGUCAGCUCCCAUCAACUGUAGUCUGUCAGGACAAGGGCGGGAGGUAGUCACUGUCAGCUGUCAGUCGGGUGAUCCUCCCUCCAUGCCCCAGACCUACCGCCUUCAGAUCUACGAGGCCCACACCAGGAAGCUCUACCACAACGUCAGCAGUCCAGUGCCAAGGUUCCUGGUGCGUGGCCUCACCUCUGGUCAGGACUACGUGGUGUAUGUGUCGUCUCACACCUCCUACGGCAGGAGUCCUUACCGCCUGGUGGAGGCCUUCACCUUCAAGACGGCAGAGAACCGUAUGCGUAGCACGUCUUCACCACCCUCCCUCUCUACCAUCAUCAUGUUCGUAUGUGGGGUGGGAGCCAUCGUCAUCAUAGUCAUCAUUGUCGUCACCGUCGUCAGGUUGAGGCUGAGGAAGUCAAGUCAUAAGUGUGUGAGAAGGACGGCCACCGCUACUGUCUCUGAGCUGCCUAAGGAUAUCUUGUCCGGAGACCAGAAACAGUCGCCGGAUGGGAAGGAAGGACCAGCCAGCGGGAACCACCUCUCUAAGAGCUCCCAGCUGACUGUGAAGGACGCUGCACACACCAAGGAGAGCAUCCCCCUCCAACCCAUCAUCCGCCAGUCCUCCAGGCCCCUGCAGCCCAUCAUCAAGGAGAACGGCCGCUCCGACAACGGUGGCAAGAGCUCCCAGGGGCGGACGGUACUCUUCGUGGAGCCACCCAAGCCACAGGGUGGAAUCCUGGUGAAUAAAAACGAAGUGCCGAGAACCACGUAUGACUCCAUGUACCAGAGCAGGAGAGGACCCAUGAAAGGACCCAACGGCGACGUGGUGUCUCACAACCUGUACCUGCCCCGGGGGUCGUACUCCGACUCACUCCACACCCUGCACGUGGGCCGAGGGGUCGACGGCCUUGGCGGGUACUCGGACAGGGAUCUGUCUAUGGUAAGGGAUCGGGAGCCCCCCUCCAUUUUAAGGGAUCCCCCUUCCAUUUUAAGGGACCGGGAUCCUCCACCAUCCAUUUUAAGAGACCGGGAUCCUCCACCAUCCAUUUUAAGGGACCGGGAUCCUCCACCAUCCAUUUUAAGGGACCGGGAUCCUCCACCAUCCAUUUUAAGGGACCGGGAUCCUCCACCAUCCAUUUUAAGGGACCGGGAUCCUCCACCAUCCAUUUUAAGGGACCGGGAUCUUCCACCAUCUAUUCUAAGGGAUCGAGAGCCACCCUUGGGCAGAUACCGGGCCUCGCUCGACGACCGGGGAGACACCGGGGAGUUAUUGGACCCACAGUUCUCUUCUAGCGCUUCCAGCACCCUAGGCAGGGAGCCCUACGGUUCCCCCCGCAGUGCCAUUAGGAGCGGGGGCGUUGCCCUGGUUACCUCUCCUCCCUUCACACGUGAGCUCGGCAGGGACAUGAGUAGGGACCUGCCAAGGGAUCUUGGUCGGGACCUGCCAAGGGAUCUUGGUCGGGACCUUCCUAGGGAUCUUGGUCGGGAUCUUCCUAGGGAUCUUGGUCGGGACCUUCCUAGGGAUCUUGGUCGGGAUCUCCCUAGGGAUCUUGGUCGGGAUCUUCCUAGGGAUCUUGGUCGGGACCACCCGAGGGAGAGGGACCACCCGAGGGACAGGGAACACCCGAGGGAGAGGGACCACCCGAAGGACAGGGACCACCAGAGGGAGAGGGACCUAGGCAGGGACCCCAGUGGCCACAUCUUCACCUUCCCCACCCGCACUGUUAGUCACGAGUACGACCCCUUGAUCCCCCGGUCGCCGCCCCCCAUCUCCUGCAUGAAGAAGUCGCCCAGUGUGAGUGCGUCUGUGGGCCGCCACUACGACCCGCCGCCCCGCAGGUCUGAGGGCAGUGGGUACCGCUCCCUCCCGCGUCCCAGCAAAACCCGCGGGGCAGAGGCGGACGCCCUGCUCAAGUACCGUUCCUUGGACAGACGUUUCGACCUGCCUUUCAGUGGGUCUUUGCCCCGACCUGAACCCGAGGUGGGUGAGGAGACCCCGCCCCAGCACCGCCGCUACAGCGGGUCGCCCCGCAUGAGGUUCGGGGACGAGAAGCACUUCCACGUGUACCACGACAAAGAGAAAAAACAAGAUGCUUGGCGGACCUUCACCUCCCGUGGCCACCACCAGACCUUCACCAGCUACACCAGAAGCCCUGAUCACCCUUAGGUCCAGUCCCAGUCACAGGAGUCAGGUCCUAUUAGAGGAGUCAGGUCCAGUGUUCCAGUUACAGGAAUCAUUUUACAUCCACAGGUGAGCGACAGGUGAUAACGAUGAUAAUGAGGCAGGUCGACCCCCUACACCCAGUUCCAGAUCAACCUGUCCUGCCCUGUGUGUUGUGUUGUGAAGGAGAAAGACGCUAGACUCAUUCAUUUACGGU
Molecule: unclassified non-coding RNA, 3489 nt
Filed under: Homarus americanus (American lobster)
Lineage: Eukaryota; Metazoa; Arthropoda; Malacostraca; Decapoda; Nephropidae
Description: synaptogenesis protein syg-2-like, transcript variant X3
Source: RNAcentral